This 220-nucleotide long non-coding RNA is filed under the name Elaeis guineensis (African oil palm). RNAcentral describes it as "long non-coding RNA (EGUI_LNC022189)". The record is from RNAcentral. Lineage: Eukaryota; Viridiplantae; Streptophyta; Magnoliopsida; Arecales; Arecaceae.
GUACUCUUACCUUCGACAGACGGCGGACAGCAACGGCGGUGUUAGAGGUGCGGACGGCAACGAUGUAGACGGCAACAGCGGUGGCGACGGUGGAGAGGCGCUCGCCAACGGGUUGAGAGGGGGAGGAGAGCUCGGAGAGGGAGAGGGAGAGGGGAGAGGGAGAUCUCGACUGGAGAGAGGAGAGGGGAGAGGGGAGAGCUUAGAGAGGAGAGAGAGGAGA